Molecule: ribosomal RNA, 465 nt
Filed under: Vreelandella stevensii
Lineage: Bacteria; Pseudomonadati; Pseudomonadota; Gammaproteobacteria; Oceanospirillales; Halomonadaceae
Description: partial 16S ribosomal RNA
Rfam family: Bacterial small subunit ribosomal RNA
Source: RNAcentral
CCUACGGGGGGCUGCAGUGGGGAAUAUUGGACAAUGGGGGGAACCCUGAUCCAGCCAUGCCGCGUGUGUGAAGAAGGCCCUCGGGUUGUAAAGCACUUUCAGUGAGGAAGAACGCCUGGUGGUUAAUACCCAUCAGGAAAGACAUCACUCACAGAAGAAGCACCGGCUAACUCCGUGCCAGCAGCCGCGGUAAUACGGAGGGUGCGAGCGUUAAUCGGAAUUACUGGGCGUAAAGCGCGCGUAGGUGGCUUGAUAAGCCGGUUGUGAAAGCCCCGGGCUCAACCUGGGAACGGCAUCCGGAACUGUCAAGCUAGAGUGCAGGAGAGGAAGGUAGACUUCCCGGUGUAGCGGUGAAAUGCGUAGAGAUCGGGAGGAAUACCAGUGGCGAAGGCGGCCUUCUGGACUGACACUGACACUGAGGUGCGAAAGCGUGGGUAGCAAACAGGAUUAGAUACCCGAGUAGUC